RNAcentral lists this ribosomal RNA (194 nucleotides) under uncultured bacterium. Its description in RNAcentral is "partial 16S ribosomal RNA". It matches the Rfam family "Bacterial small subunit ribosomal RNA", at positions 1307 to 1500 of the family's 1533-position model. The record is from RNAcentral.
GCAACUCGACUGCACGAAGCUGGAAUCGCUAGUAAUCGCGGAUCAGAAUGCCGCGGUGAAUACGUUCCCGGGUCUUGUACACACCGCCCGUCACACCAUGGGAGUCAGUAACGCCCGAAGUCAGUGACCUAACCGAAAGGGAGGAGCUGCCGAAGGCGGGACGGAUGACUGGGGUGAAGUCGUAACAAGGUACC